Molecule: ribosomal RNA, 253 nt
Filed under: uncultured bacterium
Lineage: Bacteria
Description: partial 16S ribosomal RNA
Rfam family: Bacterial small subunit ribosomal RNA
Source: RNAcentral
UACGGAGGGUGCAAGCGUUAUCCGGAUUCACUGGGUUUAAAGGGAGCGUGGGAGGGCAGGUAAGUCAGUGGUGAAAUCUUCGAGCUUAACUCGGAAACUGCCGUUGAUACUAUCUGUCUUGAAUACCGUGGAGAUGAGCGGAAUAUGUCAUGUAGCGGUGAAAUGCUUAGAUAUGACAUAGAACACCAAUUGCGAAGGCAGCUGGCUACAGGGAUAUUGACACUGAGGCACGAAAGCGUGGGGAUCAAACAGG